Molecule: transfer RNA, 97 nt
Filed under: Methylorubrum extorquens
Lineage: Bacteria; Pseudomonadati; Pseudomonadota; Alphaproteobacteria; Hyphomicrobiales; Methylobacteriaceae
Also listed under: 1 other name
Description: tRNA-OTHER
Source: RNAcentral
GUGAACGAUCGAAUGGGUAUUACUUAUCUUUGGUCUGCACUCGAAAUGCGGCAUGGGUGCAAGCCCAUCGGGGGUUCGAAUCCCCCCCUCUCCGCCA